CAAGGUGGAAACCUAAUACGAGUCUUCAGUCAUAGUAUACAUGUUAAAGAUCAUGAUAAAUAGGAGACAACAUUUACUAUGCUGACAAAUUAUAGGAAGAGAGAAAUAUUUUUCUACAUUAAUUUUUGACGUCUACUGUUCAUCAAACAUUUAAUUUCUAAAGAAUUAUUGUGCAGUGACUAAAAUAACUUACUUCUAAAAGGAAAAGGUGCAGUGAACACAAAUUAAGUGGGGUGAGCGAAAAUAUUUAGCAAUCGGGUCAAGGGGGAUUUAUUGGUACAAAUUUUAAAUCAAAUUUACUAGUAUUUUGGAGGAAAAAAACCUAACUAAUUUCUAAAAUUUUCUCUAUUGUUGUGAAAGAGGCAUGUUCUGAGUUUUUGUUGGAUCAUAAUAAUUCUCAGAAACAUUUAUAUAUGGAUCUGGACUUCUGAUUCUAAGUACUGCCCAGACAUUCUAUUGAUUUUUGUUCUUACGACUGUUCAUCACACGUCUCAAUGACUGUACCAAUAUCAUUCCCCGUUGCUUUAAAGGUCCAAUUGUCGUAUUACUUAAGAUAUAUCUUUACUUCCACUUAAACAGCAACACUGAACAAUGUUACCAAAAUUACACCCAUAAGGAUCUGCAAUACAAACAAUCAAUUAUACAUUUUAAAUACAAUGAAAUACAUUUAAGACAAACAAGAAUGAUGUAUAUAUGUUCAUACAAAAGCUUGAAAAGCUAUUAAUAUGCAAUCACCAUUAUUAUCAAUUCCAGCGACCUCCUAAUAGAAGACCACUGAGAGAACAAAGAGGUGCUUUAAUAGAUUUCUGAUGUGAGGUCCUUCCUUGGUCGAUCAUUAUGAAAUAAUAAUAUAAAUAAUGAGCAACGUUGUACUUCUUCUGAUUGGUUUUUAAGUUUCCUGCUAUUAGUGGAGUGGCGUUUGUAUGUGUGCGAUCUACAAGUAUACAGUGACGUUUGACAACCAGAGACGAUGAAAUAAACAAGUUUUAUUCGGCUUUUUGUGUGUACUAGCUCUUCUGCAAUUUGAAUUAAGAUGUUAUUUGACCUAGUGCUGCCCUAGAUUCUUUAUUGAAUAUAAUAUAUUAUAUCAUCUUUAAUCACUUUCAUUGUCAGAAUCUACAUUAUUUGUUUGGUGGGUAUUAGAGUGGCCACUUUAAGCGAAACUAUAUUUCGAAUCAUUAUUCAAUAUCAAUAUGAACUGUUAAAAAUCACGCUGAAUCAAAAAUACUAGUACCCAAAAUGUUUAUUAAUAUUCACGAAACAAUUAAUUUUCAUUGCGUGGUGGCAAAAGCAACCUUCCUCCUAUGUUGUAAAACUAGAGGCACCAUAUUUUUUUGUUAACUGCAUUUUAC
Molecule: long non-coding RNA, 1352 nt
Filed under: Mytilus galloprovincialis (Mediterranean mussel)
Lineage: Eukaryota; Metazoa; Mollusca; Bivalvia; Mytilida; Mytilidae
Source: RNAcentral